UGAAAAAGGACAAAUUGAAUUCCUUUGAGGUUAGCCUGAACAAUGAUUUGUUCAUUUUUUACUCAAUAAAUCUUUAUUGAUUGUCAACUAUACACCAGAUAGCUGACAAGAGGGUCCAUUGACAAGUACAUCUCAUUCUGGAGUUAGAGAUGAUGCCACAUCAAAGAGCAGGCAGUCGAUCCCAGCUGCAAGCAGGAGAGAAGGGCAUGCCCAGCAAGCUGCUCUGAAACAAGAAGAGUUGGCGUAGGGAAAAACAAGAGAACACCAGACUUCUGGGACCCGCCUCUUUCUCUUCAGCCUUCUAAUGGAGCUUAGUUCUGCUGCUGCUUGUUUUCUUCAGUUUGAAGUACAGAGGACUACUGCGCCUGACACAGGAUGCUGUCCUUGAAGAAAUUAGCAGGAAAUAGAGGUUUAUAGGAGCUUCUCCUCUGCUGCUCUUGUCUUGGAAACAAUUAGAAGUACAUUUGCAAAAUUGUAUUGAAAAUAAAUGGGAAAAAUUAUGUUU
Molecule: long non-coding RNA, 505 nt
Organism: Neogale vison (American mink)
Lineage: Eukaryota; Metazoa; Chordata; Mammalia; Carnivora; Mustelidae
Exons: 3
Source: RefSeq, a predicted model, not a curated record